UACGUAGGGUCCAAGCGUUAUCCGGAAUCACUGGGCGUAAAGCGUUCGUAGGCGGUUUUUCAAGUUGGGUGUGAAAUCCUGUGGCUCAACCAUAUGGACUGUGCCCAAAACUGAAAGACUAGAGCAUAGUAGAGGCAAGUGGAACCUGCGGUGUAGGGGUGACAUCCGUAGAUAUCGCAAAGAACACCAAUGGCGAAGGCAGCUUGCUGGGCUAUUGCUGACGCUCAGGAACGAAAGCGUGGGGAGCGAACGGG
This 254-nucleotide ribosomal RNA is filed under the name uncultured bacterium. Its description in RNAcentral is "partial 16S ribosomal RNA". It matches the Rfam family "Bacterial small subunit ribosomal RNA", at positions 524 to 776 of the family's 1533-position model. The record is from RNAcentral.